GAAACACUUAGAGAUGGCAUUUCAAGACUGAAGAGGCAGAGAUUUACUUGUGUGGCCUCUCCUGGUAUGUCCCAACUGUGAAAACUCAGUAGGGCUGAGUUCAACUUGAUUUCCAUUUUUCCUGUACAAAGGUGUGUGUAAUCAGCCCAAGGAACAUCUCUAAAAACACCACUGCCAUGUGACGCCCACGGGUCAAUCUUACACAACCCUGUCUUCCUGUUCGCUGCCGGUUAAGGCAGUGGUGCUCAACGAGUCUGGGGGUUCUGUUGGCUUUGCUGUUACUCAGCACUUGAGUAGCACAGCAAUUGAACAGUUUGAACAGUUGAUUGUGCAGCGAACUCAAUGUCACCUGGUUUCUGGGGUCUCCAAUCGGUUACUGAU
Conger conger (European conger) is the source of this 381-nucleotide long non-coding RNA. RefSeq lists it as uncharacterized. NCBI's taxonomy places the organism in Eukaryota, Metazoa, Chordata, Actinopteri, Anguilliformes, Congridae. The transcript has 3 exons. The record is from RefSeq and is a predicted model, not a curated record.